UAUUACAACUUUCAACAACGGAUCUCUUGGUUCUGGCAUCGAUGAAGAACGCAGCGAAAUGCGAUACGUAGUGUGAAUUGCAGAAUUCAGUGAAUCAUCGAAUCUUUGAACGCACAUUGCGCCCUUUGGUAUUCCAAAGGGCAUGCCUGUUCGAGCGUCAUU
Molecule: ribosomal RNA, 162 nt
Filed under: Stemphylium sp. EPS118
Lineage: Eukaryota; Fungi; Ascomycota; Dothideomycetes; Pleosporales; Pleosporaceae
Description: 5.8S ribosomal RNA
Rfam family: 5.8S ribosomal RNA
About the family: 5.8S ribosomal RNA (5.8S rRNA) is a component of the large subunit of the eukaryotic ribosome. It is transcribed by RNA polymerase I as part of the 45S precursor that also contains 18S and 28S rRNA.
Source: RNAcentral